GCUCAAAUUUGAAAUCUUAAAGGUUUUACCUUGACGAAUUGUAGUUUAAAGAAGUGUUUUCUGUUGGUGUUUUGGUAAAAGUUCUUUGGAAUAGGACAUCAUAGAGGGUGAGAAUCCCGUAUUUGACCAUUACUUCCAGCGUUGUGAUACACUUUCAAAGAGUCGGAUUGUUUGGGAAUGCAGUCCAAAAUGGGUGGUAAAUUUCAUCUAAAGCUAAAUAUUGGCGAGAGACCGAUAGCGAACAAGUACCGUGAGGGAAAGAUGAAAAGAACUUUGAAAAGAGAGUUAAACAGUACGUGAAAUUGUCAAAAGGGAAGCGUUUGACACCAGUGUUGUUUUCUCGAAAAUCAAUUAAAAAAAGUUGGAUUUUGUAUUGUUAAGACCUUAUCAGCUUACUGUACUCUUUUCUUGCUUUUUUUAAUGCACUUUUCAUUUAACAAG
This 441-nucleotide ribosomal RNA is filed under the name uncultured Neocallimastigomycetes. RNAcentral describes it as "LSU rRNA". It matches the Rfam family "Eukaryotic large subunit ribosomal RNA", at positions 107 to 542 of the family's 3401-position model. The record is from RNAcentral. Lineage: Eukaryota; Fungi; Neocallimastigomycota; Neocallimastigomycetes.